RNAcentral lists this ribosomal RNA (96 nucleotides) under Paenibacillus paeoniae. RNAcentral describes it as "partial 16S ribosomal RNA". It matches the Rfam family "Bacterial small subunit ribosomal RNA", at positions 1 to 90 of the family's 1533-position model. The record is from RNAcentral. Lineage: Bacteria; Bacillati; Bacillota; Bacilli; Caryophanales; Paenibacillaceae.
CUUUUAUGGAGAGUUUGAUCCUGGCUCAGGACGAACGCUGGCGGCGUGCCUAAUACAUGCAAGUCGAGCGGACUUGAUGAAGUGCUUGCACUUCUG